This 254-nucleotide ribosomal RNA is filed under the name uncultured bacterium. RNAcentral describes it as "partial 16S ribosomal RNA". It matches the Rfam family "Bacterial small subunit ribosomal RNA", at positions 524 to 776 of the family's 1533-position model. The record is from RNAcentral.
UACGGGGGGAGCAAGCGUUGUUCGGAUUUACUGGGCGUAAAGGGCGCGUAGGCGGCCACCGCAAGUCGGUUGUGAAAUCUCUGGGCUUAACCCAGAAAGGUCAACCGAUACUGCGGGGCUAGAGUGCAGAAGGGGCAACUGGAAUUCUCGGUGUAGCGGUGAAAUGCGUAGAUAUCAGGAGGAACACCGGUGGCGAAGGCGGUUCUCUGGGCAUGUCCUGACGCUGAGGAGCGAAAGUGUGGGGAGCGAACAGG